AGUGAACGCUGGCGGUAGGCCUAACACAUGCAAGUCGAACGGCAGCACAGUAAGAGCUUGCUCUUACGGGUGGCGAGUGGCGGACGGGUGAGGAAUACAUCGGAAUCUACUUUUUCGUGGGGGAUAACGUAGGGAAACUUACGCUAAUACCGCAUACGACCUACGGGUGAAAGCAGGGGAUCUUCGGACCUUGCGCGAUUGAAUGAGCCGAUGUCGGAUUAGCUAGUUGGCGGGGUAAAGGCCCACCAAGGCGACGAUCCGUAGCUGGUCUGAGAGGAUGAUACGCGACACUGGAACGGAGAGAGGGUGCAGAUGGCUAAGGAAGACACCAGUGCGCAUUUUUCAGCAAAGGGCGCUAACCUGAUAAGGGAAUAACGAGCGAGUGAAAAAGAGCUAGGGGUCGGAAAAGUCAUUUGUUGAGAAAGAAACGCAGUCGGUUGAUACGCCGCUGUGCUGCCGGUACCGAAAGAAUAAGCAACGGCUAACUUCGUG
This 492-nucleotide ribosomal RNA is filed under the name uncultured bacterium. RNAcentral's name for it is "partial 16S ribosomal RNA". It matches the Rfam family "Bacterial small subunit ribosomal RNA", at positions 29 to 507 of the family's 1533-position model. The record is from RNAcentral.